This 489-nucleotide ribosomal RNA is filed under the name uncultured bacterium. Its description in RNAcentral is "partial 16S ribosomal RNA". It matches the Rfam family "Bacterial small subunit ribosomal RNA", at positions 29 to 505 of the family's 1533-position model. The record is from RNAcentral.
GUGAACGCUGGCGGUAGGCCUAACACAUGCAAGUCGAACGGCAGCACAGUAAGAGCUUGCUCUUACGGGUGGCGAGUGGCGGACGGGUGAGGAAUACAUCGGAAUCUACUUUUUCGUGGGGGAUAACGUAGGGAAACUUACGCUAAUACCGCAUACGACCUACGAGUGAAAGCAGGGGAUCUUCGGACCUUGCGCGAUUGAAUGAGCCGAUGUCGGAUUAGCUAGUUGGCGGGGUAAAGGCCCACCAAGGCGACGAUCCGUAGCUGGUCUGAGAGGAUGAUCAGCCACACUGGAACUGAGACACGGUCCAGACUCCUACGGGAGGCAGCAGUGGGGAAUAUUGGACAAUGGGCGCAAGCCUGAUCCAGCCAUACCGCGUGGGUGAAGAAGGCCUUCGGGUUGUAAAGCCCUUUUGUUGGGAAAGAAAAGCAGCAGGUUAAUACCCCGCUGUUCUGACGGGACCCAAAGAAUAAGCACCGGCUAACUUCG